This 1250-nucleotide long non-coding RNA is filed under the name Theobroma cacao (cacao). RNAcentral's name for it is "long non-coding RNA (TCAC_LNC001782)". Lineage: Eukaryota; Viridiplantae; Streptophyta; Magnoliopsida; Malvales; Malvaceae. The record is from RNAcentral.
AAUAUUUUUCGAGUCAUACGUAAAUAAUUUUUGUAGUGUAAAAGCUAAAUAAAUUUAUACAUACUGUAAUACAGUAAGCCAAAAUAUUUAAUUUAAUUUACAAUAACAAGAAGGCCCCCGAAUAAACAAAAGUAAAGAGGACUGUGAACCUACAGUUUGAAAAAUGCAAAUCCAAUAAUAGUCCUUGAUGAGAUCAGCUAUCUACAGUCUACUGAACUUGAAAUGGAUGGAAAGGAGGGUGGUGAGAUUAUAAAAUCCCAGUAAGUAAACAGACAUCAUCAUAAACAUCUAGAGUUGAGUACAUGGAGACAAUAAAGUAAAUCAUCGUAAAUUGGUUCACAGCAUUAGAACACAUUUCAUUUAAAAUACGUAAAGAGACUUAUGAAUCUCAUAAAAACUAGGCUUGUGCCAUAAAUCCAUUCUCGGGGACACCUUGGCCGAGGCAUCCUACCAAGACCACCAAGGCUAUUAAAAAUUCACAUUUCACAUAAAUCAUGUUUUUGUUUUGAAAACAUAGUCGUUCCUUGGCGUUGGUUGAGUUCCCCCUCACGUGGUGGUUUGGCGUGAAGUGAACCCUAAACUUUACCCCAGGAGAUACCCUACGCUCCUGUCCAUUCGAGGUAAGAAUAUAAUGGGGUUUACCGUGCCCCUCUAAAAGGCUGGUCCACAGAAACCCCCUACUGCAGUGAUUAAUUAAUAUAUAAUCUACCAUAUAAUAAAAUUUUGACGGCAUGACAGGGCUAAUGAAAUACUACCCAGCCUGCAAGGGUAAAAUAAAACAAUUCAUACAAUUCAUAAAACACAGCCCAGCCAGUCAUGCCAACACAAUAACAAUAUAACAUAAGCCAUCAAUUUAAACAAUCAAAUUGCCACAAUUAAUAGUCUCCGUGUACUCUAUUUUUCAAAAUCAUUAUUAAUUUCAAAACAAUUUAUAAAUUAAUUUCAUUGGAACACCUUUAUUCAUAAAACAUGAAAAUUUACCUUUUUAAAUCCAUAUUUCCAUAGAAUUCAUGAAAUCAUCUAAAAACCACCCUAGAUAAUUAAAAUGACAGUAAGUUUACUCACAAUGUCUAGAAUGUAAACUUUCGAAGUACUCUGUCUACUGGUCCUCGGAUGCAAUUUUCUUGCCUUUAUCGGAGGACUCACCACCUUUGAUUGCUUGAUUCCUUGAAAUCUCACACUUUUACUUUAAUUUUCCCACCUAGGUUUCUUGUUUUUCUUUUCCUCUCUUUGUUCUUGCUAUGGCCGGC